CUGCUCUGUUUUCUUUAAGCCUUUCCCAUUCUAUUCGGACAAGGCCAAAUUGUUCUUCUGCAAAAAACUUUCUUCAUCCCUGUGUGUAGGUGAAUCCCCUUACUGCAUCUCCCUAUCCUCACCUGCUGCCCAUGGGUUAGUAUGGGGUGAUGUGGUACGUAAAACUCAGUGACAGGAACUUUAAGACCAGAGUGAGUGCUGGAUUCACAACUGGAAUACUUAAGUUAUGGUCUUGCUGCUGCCACUAGUAAAAGCAUGUGAUCUCAGUUCUUGGUUGCACUUGAUUUUCCUUAUCUCUGAAAUGAAGAUUGAAGUAGAAGAUGGCAUAUGGUCUUACCUGUCCUGCCAGUUUUGUUGUAUUGCAGAAUUAGAGAUCUAACCCAGGACUCUUGCAUGUCAGACACUCUACCGCUGAACUAUACCCACAACCUCUACACAGCUGUCUUUCAUUGUUCAAAUCAUUUAAUGCAUUUUCUUUGUGUACAAUAUGGAUUGUAAAUUCUUAGAGGGCAAAGAUCAUUUCUUAUAUUCCUUCCAUAUACCAAUAAAUUGUUUUUCUUGUCAUAUAUUGCAUGCUCAUGGUAUAAAUUUCAGAGAAUUAAAAAAAAAAAACAUAUGAAUAGUAAAAGUCAGUUUUUCCCACUAUACUCUCACAACAUUGCUAGGAGUGGCAGGACAGGGAGAUUCCUCACCCACAGAGCAAGUAAUGCUACAGAAGCAGACCCUGCUAGGUGUCCUUUAAUUCAAUUUAUUUAUUUUUUUUUAAUAUUUUUAGUUGUAAGUGGAAACAAUACCUUUAUUUUAUUUAUUUAUUUUUAUGUGGUGCUGAGAAUUGAACCCAGUGCCUCAUACAUGUGAGGCAAGUGUUUUACCACUGAGCCACCACUCCAGCCUAAUUUAAUUUAAUUUUGACACUGUCUUCCUGGGGGUAACAGCUCUGAAAGACUUUCCCCAAUUCAGUCAGCAGUUUAGGCCAGUUAUGACCAACCAGAUAUUAAUUAGUGUUCCCUGGCAACCCCUCCUUUAUGAAAUUGGUAGAGCAGUUCACAAAAUUAAUGAAACAUGUACCAGCUUAUUAUAAAAAUUAUCACCAAAACAAUAAAAAAUAAGUUAUCAGAAAGGAUACAAAUAAAGAGGUGCAUCAAAUGAAGUAUGGUAUGCCACCCUCAAAGAACUCUCCAAAUCCUUUCUUUUCGAGUUUUUCUGGAGGCUCCAUUAACAUGGGCACUAUAUAUUAAAUCAUUGGCCAACUUCACUGUCAGCUCCUAGCUUUUGUCAGUUCUUAGCAUACAAAAAGUCACUUGUCAUUCAUCACUUUUGAAGAUUCUGUGGAUUUUAGGAGCUCCAUGUCAAGAAAUGGAAUGAAGACCAAGUGUAUAUUUCAUGAUAUCACAUUUUAAAAAAGAAAGUGAAGAGUCAUUUGCUUCUGCAUCUAGAGAUAACCGUUGACAGCCCUUUGGUGUGUAUCCAUAAAAAUCAUUUUAUAUGUCCAUUUAUCUAUGUGCAUAUGUAUAUGUAUUUUAUCUUAAAUUUUUAUUCUAAAAUGUACAUACUGUAUAAUUUUAAUCAUUUUUGAGUGUAUAAUUCAGUGACAUUUUACAAUAAUACAUUCACAUUGUUAAGGAACCAUAUAUAAUACAUUCACAUUGUUAAGGAACCAUCAUCACUAUCCAUCUCCAUUGUAAAUGAUAACAUAAAACAAUAACUUGACUUUAAAGAAAAUAAGAUAACUUACUCUGAACCAAGUAUGAGUGGCACAGAAACAUGGAUUCAAGUUGCCUGAAUGACUUCUUCUGCUGUGGAAGAGAUUACCUGAACUUAUAGCCAAAGAACAAAAGUCAUGAAUCAAUAUUUUUAAGAAAUAUGUUGGUGAGGCCAGUAGGUAGGUGAGCUGUAGCAGAAAGGGAAAGUUUUUCCUAUAGGUAUUGACUGUUGCAGCCUUCUUAGCUUUAGGGUUGGUGGAGACUAGAGGUCUGUUAAGCCGUUAAUACAUUUUAAGAGGUUUACCUAGGAGAAUGUUAGGUGAGAUACAAAAGUUUAAGUAAAUGACUCUUUUUCUAAGGCCAUAAUGUAGCCCAAGCUAAUUUUGACUCUCAACCUGCAACUUGCCAUCUCUCCAUAAUCAGGAUGUUCUCAGCUGAGGUCAGUCUGCUUGAUCUUUAAUAUAGAUGGCACUGGGGAAUAAAACUGACUGAUUUAUGUUAUAUGCAUGUACAACUAUGUCACAAUAAAUUUGAUUAUUAUGUAUAAUUAUAAUGCACCAAUAAAAAUUAAUUCAAAAUAUAGAUGUGGCUUCUUCAAAGAAAUUCAGCUUCUUAUAUAGAUUAUCUCAUUUAUAUAUUUCCUAACCCUAUGAGGUAGGCGUUGAGAAGCAGAUGUACAGAUUGACUAGGAAUGGAGUCUAGGACAACCACUGGGUUUGGAAUUCCAUUUCUAUCACUGACCAGCUGUGUGACUUUUUAAGGA
Molecule: long non-coding RNA, 2466 nt
Filed under: Marmota monax (woodchuck)
Lineage: Eukaryota; Metazoa; Chordata; Mammalia; Rodentia; Sciuridae
Source: RNAcentral